Long non-coding RNA from Mercenaria mercenaria, 1228 nucleotides. RefSeq lists it as uncharacterized. Lineage: Eukaryota; Metazoa; Mollusca; Bivalvia; Venerida; Veneridae. The record is from RefSeq and is a predicted model, not a curated record. The transcript has 4 exons.
AUUUUAGUUUUAUGUAUGCUGUUACAAAUUCUUAUUUUGUCUUUUUACACGGAAAGCUUCAACUUGAUGUGUGUGUGUGUGUUCGGGUGUUUUCAACAAUUUCAGUAAUAUAAACCACGGUAAGUUGAUGGUUUGUAUUAAAUUAGUAUGUUUUAUGUAUAUUUUAAUGUUUUACCACACAUUUUAAAAUAUGUUUUAACAUAUGUUUUAAACUAAUGAAUAGAGUGUAUAGAUACCAUUUUCAUGUUAUGUAUGCUGUUUUAUAAUUUUUGUUUUGUCUUUUUAACACAGAAAGCUGCGAAUUGACAGGCUGAUGGUUUGUAUUUGUGCACUGUAUUUUACCAGUAUUUCUCAUGUCAGCAUAAAAUAGCAAUUGUUUUGUAUUAUUGUUUUUUUAGGUUGCAUGUUAACUGCAACAGACUACAAACACAGGUGUUGGAUGCCACAGCUGACACUGCUCUCAACUAGAGAAAUGAAAGUAAUGGACAUCUAAACUGUGUUUGUUCUGCCAAACUGAAGGCAAAGCCUGAUGCUUGAUGUCUUAUUUUAUGGUCAUUAUUAGAAGUGAAGUUCAAGCAUAUGUAACUUUGGACUAUUCUGGCACAGAAGAAUAUGGGCCUCUUGCCAUCAAACCCAGAAGGAGCAAUGACUGUUAAAAUCAAUACAGAUUUUGCAUUUUGCAAAGGAUGAAGUUGAGGGUUAUGAGGAUGAUGAUGAUAGUUUAAAUGGGAAAUGGUGAUCAAACACACACAGUUCACAUGAUGAUACUGGAGAGAAUGGAGUGACAAGCAGAUGUAGAAGAAAAAGUCCAGCUGCAAAUUUUCCAAGAAGAUAGUCCAGCAAUCAAUUGUCUUGGAAGAUACAGUAUGGAUGUGGACCUGUAGUAACUAAAGGUAUAGUCUCUGUGCAUUCACAGAGAGAAAUCAUUCAUUCACAGUAAUAUUGCAGAAAGAAAAAAAAAAUUAAAUUAAAUAACUUAAAACGAGCAAAAUCAUUUUUAGCUCGACUAUUAGCUAUUCUACUCACCCUUGAGUCAGCGUAAAAACUAAUGCAGAUACUGGAUUGAAGCUCUAUAGAUAUUUUAACAUUUAAGGUAAUAUUUCUGCUUCUGGGACAACAAUUUGAAUAGUUGAGCAUUGGCUGUCUUACGGACAGCUCUUCUUUAGGUUUACAGUAGUUGCUUUGGAAUUUAAAAAAAUUUAAAAGGGUGAAUUUUGCCCAUAAAGAA